UAACAAUAUCCAUUUUACAUAAAUGGAUAUUGUUAAUUUUUUCAUACAAUUCAAGUGUCAAUAUUGAGGUUGGUUUGGUCAGCAAUCGCACUACCAUACCACCACUUAGAGUGAAGCUGAAUGUUUCAACUAUAUAUCCAUUAACGCUACUUUAAGACAACUAUUUUAACCAAUAGCUAUCUGUUUUAACUUUAAAUUAUUGUAACCUUUUCUUUAUUACUUUAGCUAAUCAUUCAAACUGUUUUGUAAUUACUUUUGAAUAUAUAUUUUUACUACCUAUUCAUUACUUUUACCUAAACCUUUGUGCUCACCUGCUCACUAGUCUUCACACACUCUUACAUAGCGACAAGAUGCCGGUGUUACAGUUGACCUUGUGUUAAU
Etheostoma spectabile (orangethroat darter) is the source of this 381-nucleotide long non-coding RNA. RefSeq lists it as uncharacterized. The record is from RefSeq and is a predicted model, not a curated record. Lineage: Eukaryota; Metazoa; Chordata; Actinopteri; Perciformes; Percidae. The transcript has 3 exons.